Haplochromis burtoni (Burton's mouthbrooder) is the source of this 582-nucleotide long non-coding RNA. RefSeq lists it as uncharacterized. The record is from RefSeq and is a predicted model, not a curated record. The transcript is spliced from 3 exons. NCBI's taxonomy places the organism in Eukaryota, Metazoa, Chordata, Actinopteri, Cichliformes, Cichlidae.
UUUUAUCCCCAGUUCUAAACGAAGGCCAGUUGUGAUAUUAACACAUCGUGAUUCGCCUGAGCUUUAGUUUCCAUCACAGCAGAUGACUCCGCCCUCUUUUAAGGUUGUGUUACUGAUCUGAACCUAGGUGAUGUAAAGCUGCUUAGUCCGACAGUGUACCUGAGCAGGUAAUUAUUCCAGCUGUCCUGGGUUCAGUCAUCACUAACAGACAAGAAUAUGAAGCCUGGAUCUUUCCCCAAGAAUGAAACUGAACCAUCCCGCGGUCCGGACUCCACCGUUUUAUUUUGAAGGUGAGACCGGAAAAGGGCGGCUCAGUGGGACCUUCUUACUGAGCGAAGUUUCGAACAAAUAACUGAUAAACAGGUGAAUUUGUGAGAGCAGGUGUGAUGGCCUCGGAGGAACAGUCCGGAGCAGCAGGAGGGAGGACGAGGAGAAGCAGUAAACAGGAGCCUCCAACAGUGUCACUCAGGUUGGUUCUGGUCGGGAAGACUGGAGAAGGAAAGAGCUCCAGUGGAAACACCAUCCUGGGAAGAGAGGCCUUCAGAGCUGCGUCCAGUCAUUCCUCAGGUAUCACACACACAC